GAAAAUUCGGUUGCAUACCUGGUGUCCAUAUUGCCAGAAGGUAUGGACUUGGGUCAUCAGGUUCUCGUUUAUCCAGCUGUGUUUGAAGAUUAUUGGGUUAGAAUAAAGCAUAGUUUAAACCAAAUUUUAUUAAUGAAGCAACAGAAGAUAGACAACUGACCUUUUCCAACAAUUGAUGAGAAUCUGGGAGUUCGUACCUGCAAUAUAUCAGAGUAUUGACCAUUAGUUUUGUGAUCGUAACUGCUAGAGCUUUUUGGCAUGGCUUCAUAGGUAAAACCGUGAAGACUAUAUACUUUGUGGGUGUUUAUUAGCAGACCAUUUGGUGUCAUAAUUGGUGGUGUUGAGAGGUGUGGGCUAGCAAUACAAACUGGUACUGCCGCUUUAUACAUCUUCUCAUUUUCAGCACACUGCAAAUUUGUAUAAAUAUCUGCAUUGCACAUUCUU
Molecule: long non-coding RNA, 444 nt
Filed under: Nicotiana tabacum (common tobacco)
Lineage: Eukaryota; Viridiplantae; Streptophyta; Magnoliopsida; Solanales; Solanaceae
Description: long non-coding RNA (NTAB_LNC011503)
Source: RNAcentral